This is a long non-coding RNA of Oncorhynchus nerka (sockeye salmon), 1033 nucleotides long. RefSeq lists it as uncharacterized. The record is from RefSeq and is a predicted model, not a curated record. NCBI's taxonomy places the organism in Eukaryota, Metazoa, Chordata, Actinopteri, Salmoniformes, Salmonidae. The transcript is spliced from 2 exons.
UAUAUAUAUAUAUAUAUAAUUUAAAAAAAUGAAAAAAAAUGGCUUCUGUUUAGGACACAAGUACAGGUUUUGGGACAUGGCCACACAAUGGGUUAGUGGUUAGAGCGUUGGGCCAUUAACCGAAAGGUUGCUAGAUCGAAUCCCCGAGCUGACAAGGUACAAAUCUGUCGUUCUUCCUCCUGAAAGAGACAUUGUAAAUAAGAAUUUGUUCUUAACUGACUUGCCUAGUUAAAUAAAGGUUUAAUUUUUUUUCUUCCAAAAUGGCAACACACACCUCAGUUCAGCAGCACAGUAACUCCUAAUCUCUCCACCAGGGGGCAGGCUUGAUUCAGUUCUCAAUUCCACUUUCCAUUUAGUAAUUUAUUGAUUUCAGAGUUCUAAUUAAGUGGAAGUUCAGAUUAAUCAUGUACUAAAUUUAAAACUCCUUUUAUCAAACAUUGGACAUAUUCAAUUGACUUCUUUAAUUGACUGAGUUAAAACUGUCAGGUCCCAAUCCUGCUCUCUCCCUCCCCCCUCUUCCCUCUCUCUCCCUCCACUCCCUCUUCCCUCUCUCUCCCUCCACUCCCUCUUCCCUCUCUCUCCCUCCACUCCCUCUUCCCUCUCUCCCCUUCCCUCUCUCUCCCUCUUCCCUCCCUUCACUCCCUUCCCUCUCUUCCCUCCCUUCCCUCCCCUUUCCCUCUCUCUCCCUCCACUCCCUCUUCCCUCUCUCUCCCUCCACUCCCUCUUCCCUCUCUCCCCUUCCCUCUCUUCCCUCCCUUCUCCCCCCACCCCCUCUUUCUCCAGGUUGAGAAAAACUGAUUGUGAAAAGCAUCAUGUAACAUAAAUCCCCAUGGAAACGUAGCAGAGAUCUUUUAAAUAUAGCAAUAUACAGACUAAUGUAUGAUACUUGAUUAUAAUCUCAACAUAUAUAAAUACAUACCAGUAUGACAAUGUUUGUAAUUUAUGUAUAAAAUAAUUCAGCAACAUGUUUAUUAGUAUUUGGUUGAUGUUUCCAGAAGGUUUGAUGACUUUCUAUUAAAUAUUUUGUAAAAUC